CCUACGGGAGGCAGCAGUGGGGAAUAUUGCGCAAUGGGCGAAAGCCUGACGCAGCGACGCCGCGUGAGGGAUGAAGGUCUUCGGAUCGUAAACCUCUGUCAGCAGGGAAGAACGGUCACUGUGCUAAUCAGCAGAGAAUUGACGGUACCUGCAAAGGAAGCACCGGCUAACUCCGUGCCAGCAGCCGCGGUAAUACGGAGGGUGCGAGCGUUAAUCGGAAUUACUGGGCGUAAAGCGCUCGUAGGCGGUACGUCAAGUCAAGGGUGAAAUCCCCGCGCUCAACGUGGGAACUGCCCUUGAUACUGGCAAACUGGAAUGUGUGAGAGGAUAAGGGAAUUCCAGGUGUAGGAGUGAAAUCCGUAGAUAUCUGGAGGAACAUCAGUGGCGAAGGCGAUUAUCUGGCACAUAACUGACGCUGAGGAGCGAAAGCCUGGGUAGCAAACGGGAUUAGAUACCCCAGUAGUC
RNAcentral lists this ribosomal RNA (465 nucleotides) under uncultured bacterium. RNAcentral's name for it is "partial 16S ribosomal RNA". It matches the Rfam family "Bacterial small subunit ribosomal RNA", at positions 338 to 795 of the family's 1533-position model. The record is from RNAcentral.